RNAcentral lists this ribosomal RNA (1290 nucleotides) under uncultured bacterium. Its description in RNAcentral is "bacterial SSU rRNA". It matches the Rfam family "Bacterial small subunit ribosomal RNA", at positions 83 to 1399 of the family's 1533-position model. The record is from RNAcentral.
UUUUGUGACUGAGUGGCGGACGGGUGAGUAACGCGUGGGUAACCUGCCUUGUACAGGGGGAUAACAGUUGGAAACGGCUGCUAAUACCGCAUAAGCGCACAGCAUCGCAUGAUGCAGUGUGAAAAACUCCGGUGGUAUAAGAUGGACCCGCGUUGGAUUAGCUAGUUGGUGAGGUAACGGCCCACCAAGGCGACGAUCCAUAGCCGACCUGAGAGGGUGACCGGCCACAUUGGGACUGAGACACGGCCCAAACUCCUACGGGAGGCAGCAGUGGGGAAUAUUGCACAAUGGGCGAAACCCUGAUGCAGCGACGCCGCGUGGAGGAAGAAGGUUUUCGGAUUGUAAACUCCUGUCGUUAGGGACGAUAAUGACGGUACCUAACAAGAAAGCACCGGCUAACUACGUGCCAGCAGCCGCGGUAAAACGUAGGGUGCAAGCGUUGUCCGGAAUUACUGGGUGUAAAGGGAGCGCAGGCGGACCGGCAAGUUGGAAGUGAAAACUAUGGGCUCAACCCAUAAAUUGCUUUCAAAACUGCUGGCCUUGAGUAGUGCAGAGGUAGGUGGAAUUCCCGGUGUAGCGGUGGAAUGCGUAGAUAUCGGGAGGAACACCAGUGGCGAAGGCGACCUACUGGGCACCAACUGACGCUGAGGCUCGAAAGCAUGGGUAGCAAACAGGAUUAGAUACCCUGGUAGUCCAUGCCGUAAACGAUGAUUACUAGGUGUUGGAGGAUUGACCCCUUCAGUGCCGCAGUUAACACAAUAAGUAAUCCACCUGGGGAGUACGACCGCAAGGUUGAAACUCAAAGGAAUUGACGGGGGCCCGCACAAGCAGUGGAGUAUGUGGUUUAAUUCGAAGCAACGCGAAGAACCUUACCAGGUCUUGACAUCCGAUGCAUAGUGCAGAGAUGCAUGAAGUCCUUCGGGACAUCGAGACAGGUGGUGCAUGGUUGUCGUCAGCUCGUGUCGUGAGAUGUUGGGUUAAGUCCCGCAACGAGCGCAACCCUUAUUGCCAGUUACUACGAAAGAGGACUCUGGCGAGACUGCCGUUGACAAAACGGAGGAAGGUGGGGAUGACGUCAAAUCAUCAUGCCCCUUAUGAUUUGGGCUACACACGUGCUACAAUGGCGUAAACAAAGGGAAGCGAACCCGCGAGGGUGGGCAAAUCUCAAAAAUAACGUCCCAGUUCGGACUGCAGGCUGCAACUCGCCUGCACGAAGUCGGAAUUGCUAGUAAUCGUGGAUCAGCAUGCCGCGGUGAAUACGUUCCCGGGCCUUGUACUCACCGCCCGUCA